RNAcentral lists this ribosomal RNA (637 nucleotides) under uncultured Staphylococcus sp. Its description in RNAcentral is "bacterial SSU rRNA". It matches the Rfam family "Bacterial small subunit ribosomal RNA", at positions 61 to 680 of the family's 1533-position model. The record is from RNAcentral. Lineage: Bacteria; Bacillati; Bacillota; Bacilli; Caryophanales; Staphylococcaceae.
GUCGAGCGAACAGACGAGGAGCUUGCUCCUCUGACGUUAGCGGCGGACGGGUGAGUAACACGUGGAUAACCUACCUAUAAGACUGGGAUAACUUCGGGAAACCGGAGCUAAUACCGGAUAAUAUAUUGAACCGCAUGGUUCAAUAGUGAAAGACGGUUUUGCUGUCACUUAUAGAUGGAUCCGCGCCGCAUUAGCUAGUUGGUAAGGUAACGGCUUACCAAGGCAACGAUGCGUAGCCGACCUGAGAGGGUGAUCGGCCACACUGGAACUGAGACACGGUCCAGACUCCUACGGGAGGCAGCAGUAGGGAAUCUUCCGCAAUGGGCGAAAGCCUGACGGAGCAACGCCGCGUGAGUGAUGAAGGUCUUCGGAUCGUAAAACUCUGUUAUUAGGGAAGAACAAAUGUGUAAGUAACUAUGCACGUCUUGACGGUACCUAAUCAGAAAGCCACGGCUAACUACGUGCCAGCAGCCGCGGUAAUACGUAGGUGGCAAGCGUUAUCCGGAAUUAUUGGGCGUAAAGCGCGCGUAGGCGGUUUUUUAAGUCUGAUGUGAAAGCCCACGGCUCAACCGUGGAGGGUCAUUGGAAACUGGAAAACUUGAGUGCAGAAGAGGAAAGUGGAAUUCCAUGUGUAGCG